AGUGAACGCUGGCGGUAGGCCUAACACAUGCAAGUCGAACGGCAGCACAGUAAGAGCUUGCUCUUACGGGUGGCGAGUGGCGGACGGGUGAGGCAUACAUCGGAAUCUACUUUUUCGUGGGGGAUAACGUAGGGAAACUUACGCUAAUACCGCAUACGACCUACGGGUGAAAGCAGGGGAUCUUCGGACCUUGCGCGAUUGAAUGAGCCGAUGUCGGAUUAGCUAGUUGGCGGGGUAAAGGCCCACCAAGGCGACGAUCCGUAGCUGAUCUGAGAGGAUGAUCAGCCACACUGGAACUGAGACACGGUCCAGACUCCUACGGGAGGCAGCAGUGGGGAAUAUUGGACAAUGGGCGCAAGCCUGAUCCAGCCAUGCCGCGUGGGUGAAGAAGGCCUUCGGGUUGUAAAGCCCUUUUGUUGGGAAAGAAAAGCAGCAGGUGAAUACCCCGCUGUUCUGACGGUACCCAAAGAAUAAGCACCGGCUAACUUCGUG
Molecule: ribosomal RNA, 492 nt
Filed under: uncultured bacterium
Lineage: Bacteria
Description: partial 16S ribosomal RNA
Rfam family: Bacterial small subunit ribosomal RNA
Source: RNAcentral